Molecule: ribosomal RNA, 561 nt
Filed under: Vishniacozyma victoriae
Lineage: Eukaryota; Fungi; Basidiomycota; Tremellomycetes; Tremellales; Bulleribasidiaceae
Description: partial large subunit ribosomal RNA
Rfam family: Eukaryotic large subunit ribosomal RNA
Source: RNAcentral
AUGAGCUCAAAUUUAAAAUCUGGCGUCUUUCAGGCGUCCGAGUUGUAAUCUAUAGAGGCGUUUUCCGCGCCGGACCGCGUCCAGUCUCUUGGAAUAGAGUAUCAAAGAGGGUGACAAUCCCGUACUUGACGCGACAACCGGUGCUCUGUGAUACGUUCUCAAUGAGUCGAGUUGUUUGGGAAUGCAGCUCUAAAUGGGUGGUAAAUUCCAUCUAAGGCUAAAUAUUGGCGAGAGACCGAUAGCGAACAAGUACCGUGAGGGAAAGAUGAAAAGCACUUUGGAAAGAGAGUUAAACAGCACGUGAAAUUGUUAAAAGGGAAACGAUUGAAGUCAGUCGUGUGAAAGGUAUUCAGCCGUCUCUGGCGGUGUAUUUGCCUUUCACGGGUCAACAUCAGUUUGAUCCGGUAGAAAAAGGCGGGAGGAAGGUGGCACCCUCGGGUGUGUUAUAGCCUCCUGUCAUAUGUGCCGGACCAGACUGAGGAACGCAGCUUGCCGCAAGGCCGGGGUUCGCCCACGUACAAGCUUAGGAUGUUGACAUAAUGGCUUUAAACGACCCGUCUU